This 646-nucleotide long non-coding RNA is filed under the name Olea europaea (common olive). RNAcentral describes it as "long non-coding RNA (OEUR_LNC004749)". The record is from RNAcentral. Lineage: Eukaryota; Viridiplantae; Streptophyta; Magnoliopsida; Lamiales; Oleaceae.
UUCUACAUCUGAAACAAGUUGACAUUCCAUCUUGCCAAAGUUCUGCAAGGGAAACGAAAUGCAAAUUUUGCCAAUUUUGAAUUUUUCAAAUUAACAACAUGAAACUUAACCUAAGAUUUCACGCUUUUCUAAUUCAAUUUCAAAUAUCAAUAUAAGACAUCCAAACAGUUGGAAGGCAACAAAAAUGCAGGAGCAUGAAGGAGGCAGAUAAUUUUUCUAAGUUAAUUCGUCCUUAUUUCAAAGCUCAACUCUGCACCUUGAGACACUAAAAAAGCAUAAGCCAGAAAAUUUUCGCCCUGUAAGUAAAACAUACACGCACCAUGUGUUCCAGAAACGUUUUAACACAGGUUUUCACAUAUGUAUAUACGGUUGAAACAAAUUCAAAGCAUGAGGUCUUCGUAAUACUCAUAAAGAUGUAAAUACAAACAAAUAGAUAUAGAUGACCUGCAGAUAAUCGAGACCGCCAUUGGAGGGGUUCCAUUUAGAAAAGGCCUUCCAAUUCUUAAUGCAUCCGCUAAAUACCUUUCGAAUAAACCUUAAUCAGUACGUUAAUCAAAUAAAAACAACGCUUACAUUAAACAGAGUUGAAACAAAUUCAAAGCAUGAGGUCUUCGUAAUACUCAUAAAGAUGUAAAUACAAACAAAU